UGGGAAUUCCUCAUUUCAAUGUCCUUCCC
This 29-nucleotide non-coding RNA is filed under the name Rattus norvegicus (Norway rat). The record is from RNAcentral. Lineage: Eukaryota; Metazoa; Chordata; Mammalia; Rodentia; Muridae.